GAUGAACGCUGGCGGCGUGCCUAAUACAUGCAAGUCGAGCGAACGGACGAGAAGCUUGCUCCUCUGACGUUAGCGGCGGACGGGUGAGUAACACGUGGAUAACCUACCUAUAAGACUGGGAUAACUUCGGGAAACCGUAGCUAAUACCGGAUAAUAUAUUGAACCGCAUGGUUCAAUAGUGAAAGACGGUUUUGCUGUCACUUAUAGAUGGAUCCGCGCUGCAUUAGCUAGUUGGUAAGGUAACGGCUUACCAAGGCAACGAUGCGUAGCCGACCUGAGAGGGUGAUCGGCCACACUGGAACUGAGACACGGUCCAGACUCCUACGGGAGGCAGCAGUAGGGAAUCUUCCGCAAAGGGCGAAAGCCUGACGGAGCAACGCCGCGUGAGUGAUGAAGGUCUUCGGAUCGUAAAACUCUGUUAUUAGGGAAGAACAAAUGUGUAAGUAACUAUGCACGUCUUGACGGUACCUAAUCAGAAAGCCACGGCUAACUACGUG
This 497-nucleotide ribosomal RNA is filed under the name uncultured bacterium. RNAcentral's name for it is "partial 16S ribosomal RNA". It matches the Rfam family "Bacterial small subunit ribosomal RNA", at positions 28 to 507 of the family's 1533-position model. The record is from RNAcentral.